Molecule: ribosomal RNA, 460 nt
Filed under: uncultured bacterium
Lineage: Bacteria
Description: partial 16S ribosomal RNA
Rfam family: Bacterial small subunit ribosomal RNA
Source: RNAcentral
CCUACGGGAGGCAGCAGUGAGGAAUAUUGGUCAAUGGCCGGAAGGCUGAACCAGCCAUGCCGCGUGAAGGUCAGUGCCCUAUGGGCGUUAAACUUCUUUUGUGCGGGAGCAAUAAUGGUCACGUGUGGCCAGACGAGAGUACCGUAUGAAUAAGCAUCGCCUAAAUCCGUGCUAGCAGCCGCGGUAAUACGGGGGAUGCAAGCGUUAUCCGGAUUUAUUGGGUUUAAAGGGGACGUAGGUUGUGAGGUAAGUCAGCGGUGAAAUGCCCCCGCUCAACGGGGUGAAGUGCCAUGGAUACUGCGUAGCUGGAGUGCGGAUGCCGUGGGAGGAAUGUGUGGUGUAGCGGUGAAAUGCGUAGAUAUUAGGAAGAACACCAGUGGCGAAGGCGGCUUUCUGGACUGAAACUGACGCUGAGGCACGAAAGCGUGGGGAGCGAACAGGAUUAGAUACCCGAGUAGUC